This is a long non-coding RNA of Cercocebus atys (sooty mangabey), 1011 nucleotides long. RefSeq lists it as uncharacterized. The transcript is spliced from 3 exons. The record is from RefSeq and is a predicted model, not a curated record. Lineage: Eukaryota; Metazoa; Chordata; Mammalia; Primates; Cercopithecidae.
CGCAGCUGACCUGUGUCUUUCCCUGGGCGCGGGAAAGUUGGUGAUGAAGAACCCGGAAAUACGCCAUCGUAGUCCCUUUUGUUCUUUGUUUCCCUCCUCCCUCCGUCCAGACACGUGCCACCUGGUUGUGAAGCAGCCUGAGGUGCCCCCAGGGGCAGGAGACCCUCUCUGGCCCCCAGGCUGCCUCUCUGAUGCUGGCCUCGGAGAGGACGUUCUCCCACCCGUCCCUGCCGCAGCCGUCACUUCAGACCUGGCCUUGAACCUCUGCCCAGGGUCCAGGUGCCUCAGACCCUUCGUUCGUGGGCCCUGUGCCAUUCCUGGCUGGUGUCGUUCCUCUGGGGAAGAAGGCAGCUCUGCUGAACCAGCUACAUCCCUUGGCCCGGCAGGAGGCAGGACGAGGGAGUGAGCUGCGCAAAGAACACGUCCACCUGGGCUUGCUCCUCCGAACACCUUCAACACUCUCAGCCUCCUCUCCCACUCCGUUCUCCUCUUCUGAGCUUUCCCGAAUCACCAGUGCGUGGAGGCGGCCUCUCGUUCCUGUCCACCUCCUCACAGGCCGACACCCUAAUCACAGACAACGGAAACGGCUCCUGGACUCAGUGGGACUCUGACUGACACCCCUGAGAAGGCAGAGGAGGAUCGACAAUGUAACAUAGACCCUCUUUCUAUAUCCCCUUUGGCAAAUACACACGUCACGUGGUUGCUGUUGUCUGUCUUAAUUUGGAUGGUGUAAGUACUUGCCACUUCACUCAUCUCUCCCUCACCUCCUCUUGAGAGAAGGGCAGAGAAAUGUCGACACCACAGCAAACCACAAUGAGUACCCAAGCGCCUGCAGGACCACGGGGAAUUCGGGGCACCGCUCUGCCAAGAAUCCUUCCUACUCCCUAUUUUCUCAACCAAAAUGCUGUCUAAUAUACUUUCCUCACUUCCCUGUACCCACAUGAAAAGUGCUCGGAAACUGACAUUGGGUCAAGCAUACAGAAAUAGUCAGUAUUUAGUUUUACCUCGGAA